RNAcentral lists this ribosomal RNA (253 nucleotides) under uncultured bacterium. RNAcentral describes it as "partial 16S ribosomal RNA". It matches the Rfam family "Bacterial small subunit ribosomal RNA", at positions 524 to 776 of the family's 1533-position model. The record is from RNAcentral.
UACGGAGGGUGCAAGCGUUAUCCGGAUUCACUGGGUUUAAAGGGUGCGUAGGUGGGUUGGUAAGUCAGUGGUGAAAUCCCCGAGCUUAACUUGGGAACUGCCAUUGAUACUAUUAAUCUUGAAUACUGUGGAGGUCAGCAGAAUAUGUCAUGUAGCGGUGAAAUGCUUAGAUAUGACAUAGAAUACCAAUUGCGAAGGCAGCUGGCUACACAAAUAUUGACACUGAGGCACGAAAGCGUGGGGAUCAAACAGG